UUAGACGGAAAAGACUAUAUUUAAGAUGUUUUGCCUGAAAAAUGAGCGAACGAUAAAGUUUUUAUAUUUUUCGCUUGUCAGGCCGGAAUAACUCCCUAUAAUGCGCCACCACUGACACGGAACAACGGCAAACACGCCGCCGGGUCAGCGGGGUUCUCCUCAGAAUUCCGGCAGAGAAAGCAAAAAUAAAUGCUUGACUCUGUAGCGGGAAAGCGUAUUAUGCACACCCCGCGCCGCUGAGAAAAAGCGAAGCGGCACUGCUCUUUAACAAUUUAUCAGACAAUCUGUGUGGGCACUCGAAGAUACGGAUUCUUAACGUCGCAAGACGAAAAAUGAAUACCAAGUCUCAAGAGUGAACACGUAAUUCAUUACGAAGUUUAAUUCUUUGAGCAUCAAACUUUUAAAUUGAAGAGUUUGAUCAUGGCUCAGAUUGAACGCUGGCGGCAGGCCUAACACAUGCAAGUCGAACGGUAACAGGAA
RNAcentral lists this ribosomal RNA (480 nucleotides) under Escherichia coli O104:H4 str. 04-8351. Its description in RNAcentral is "partial 23S ribosomal RNA". The stretch from base 403 to 480 matches the Rfam family "Bacterial small subunit ribosomal RNA", at positions 1 to 78 of the family's 1533-position model. The record is from RNAcentral. Lineage: Bacteria; Pseudomonadati; Pseudomonadota; Gammaproteobacteria; Enterobacterales; Enterobacteriaceae.